This 447-nucleotide ribosomal RNA is filed under the name uncultured bacterium. RNAcentral describes it as "partial 16S ribosomal RNA". It matches the Rfam family "Bacterial small subunit ribosomal RNA", at positions 328 to 792 of the family's 1533-position model. The record is from RNAcentral.
AGGCCAGACUCCUACGGGAGGCAGCAGUGGGGGAUAUUGCACAAUGGGGGCAACCCCGAUGCAGCGACGCCGCGUGAGCGAUGGAGUACUUCGGUAUGUAAAGCUCUGUCAGCAGGGAAGAGAAUGACGGUACCUGACCAAGAAGCCCCGGCUAAAUACGUGCCAGCAGCCGCGGUAAUACGUAUGGUGCAAGCGUUAUCCGGAUUUACUGGGCGUAAAGGGAGCGCAGGCGGCGCGCCAAGUCUGAUGUGAAACCCCGGGGCUCAACCCCGGGCAUGCAUUGGAAACUGGCGGGCUGGAGUGCCGGAGAGGUAAGCGGAAUUCCUAGUGUAGCGGUGAAAUGCGUAGAUAUUAGGAGGAACACCAGUGGCGAAGGCGGCUUACUGGACGGCAACUGACGCUGAGGCUCGAAAGCGUGGGGAGCAAACAGGAUUAGAUACCCGAGUA